Molecule: transfer RNA, 72 nt
Filed under: Camelus bactrianus (Bactrian camel)
Lineage: Eukaryota; Metazoa; Chordata; Mammalia; Artiodactyla; Camelidae
Also listed under: 3 other names
Rfam family: tRNA
About the family: Transfer RNA (tRNA) molecules are approximately 80 nucleotides in length.
Source: Rfam by way of RNAcentral
GUGAGAAUAGCUCACUGGUAGAGUGUAUGCUUAGCAUGCAUGAGGUCCUGGGUUCAAUCCCCAGUACCUCCA